Molecule: ribosomal RNA, 274 nt
Filed under: uncultured bacterium
Lineage: Bacteria
Description: partial 16S ribosomal RNA
Rfam family: Bacterial small subunit ribosomal RNA
Source: RNAcentral
AUACGGAGGGUGCAAGCGUUAAUCGGAAUUACUGGGCGUAAAGCGCGCGUAGGCGGUUAAGUAAGUCGGAUGUGAAAGCCCCGGGCUCAACCUGGGAAUUGCAUUCGAUACUGCUUGACUAGAGUAUGGUAGAGGGAAGUGGAAUUUCCGGUGUAGCGGUGAAAUGCGUAGAUAUCGGAAGGAACAUCAGUGGCGAAGGCGACUUCCUGGGCCAAUACUGACGCUGAGGUGCGAAAGCGUGGGGAGCAAACAGGAUUAGAUACCCCAGUAGUCC